UGAGGAAUCUUGCGCAAUGGGGGCAACCCUGACGCAGCAACGCCGCGUGAGUGAGGAAGGCUUUCGGGUCGUAAAGCUCUGUCAGGUGGGAAGAAACAUAUGGAGGCCAAUAACCUCCAUACUUGACGGUACCACCAGAGGAAGCACCGGCUAACUCCGUGCCAGCAGCCGCGGUAAUACGGGGGGUGCAAGCGUUGUUCGGAAUCAUUGGGCGUAAAGCGCGUGUAGGCGGCUUGACAAGUCAGAUGUGAAAUCCCUGGGCUUAACUCAGGAAGUGCAUUUGAAACUGUCAGGCUAGAGUAAGGGAGAGGAAAGUGGAAUUCCUGGUGUAGAGGUGAAAUUCGUAGAUAUCAGGAGGAACACCGGUGGCGAAGGCGACUUUCUGGCCCUAUACUGACGCUGAGACGCGAAAGCGUGGGUAGCAAACA
This 428-nucleotide ribosomal RNA is filed under the name uncultured prokaryote. Its description in RNAcentral is "bacterial SSU rRNA". It matches the Rfam family "Bacterial small subunit ribosomal RNA", at positions 355 to 774 of the family's 1533-position model. The record is from RNAcentral.